GAAGAUGAAAUUGUAAUUGAUAUUUCAUUGUGAUUAUAUAUAAAAUAUUACUCUCUUUGUACAAAGUAGACAUCAUGUAUCCCCACCAGUUGGACAAUUUUGUGCUAUCUUCCUCAGGUUCUCAAUGAUCAUUACAAGCUUUGUGUUGAGCCUAUUCACAAAGCACUUGGGCAGCCAUCCAGCAGGAUCUAACUGAACAACAUAAGUGACCAAACAGGAGUCAUCUUCAAGCUUCUCCACAACCCAUCCUGACUGAAGCAAUAGUCCUCUGAUUGCAUUAUUUUGCUUAGGGUGCAAUCCUGCAGCUAUCUCCUUCGGCAGCGAAGCUACUGCUACUACCUACAGUUUGUUCAAAGAAACAAAACAACCAAGUUCAAAUAUUGAAGGAAGCAUUCUUUUCAUUGCAUAGUUCUCUCUAUUUUCUUUGUCAUACUCACCAAGGUUCCAUCUUCCAUUGUUUCGCGUCGCUCAUAUACUAUGAAUUCUCUGUUUCUGAAGAGAGGUUUAGAGUUCUCUCCGAACCUGAGGCGAAUUAUGCACAAAUUUUCUUCGAGAUCUUUUAUGUAUCUUGCUUCCACCAGGUCAGGAUCCCAUUGCUGAUCUAACCAAAAUUGCAAUUAAAAUUUUAUCAACAAUCUCAAACACAUGUGGAAAGGCCUUAAAAAAUUGAUUACCCUUGCAGCAUCAAUGGCAUUUGCAACAGUGAUGAAUUGUUGUGGAGAGACUGAUCUUAGCAGCCACCUGCUACGAAAGGUGUGGAAUGAACCAGACCUGCGUUUUGAUAUCUCAACCCCAUUGUCUAGAGUUACAACCUUCCAUCCAUCAUUGCCAUUUCCAAGCCUGUUGGAGUCAGAAGCUGAUAGCAAAUCCUGUAUGCAGCUUUCGCUCGCAAAGUACACGUACCUUCUUAGAGAGUCCUCACUAAUGGACCUGCGAAAAAAUUCCAAAUAAAAAGUAGAAUCUGAGGGAGCUAUAAUCAAUGUAACAGUGUCAAGAUUAGAUGAGAAAGAUUAUUAGUGCUUACCAGGACGUGCUGCUACCUGUUGGACUGUUCAUUGCAAGGUUCAAGAAGUGGCUCCUCCCGAGUCCUGAAGCCUUCUUUUCACUUCAACAAAAUCAAAGAUAUUGUAAAAAAUAUAUAUAGUAAAGAGGAAGGGAGUAUCAAUUGGAGGUUAAGGAUUAGUUCGAAAGAGUGGCCGAGAAGUGUAAAAUAAUGCUAAAUGGGCCAAGGUCAUUGAUGCACAUGCAAUGCCAGAGGAACCUCCAUGAUUAGAAGUUAACGUCUUCUUCUCUAUAGAAAGAGAGAUAAAGGAUGGAUACUUUCCUUGCAAAAAAGCAGCAAGAACUGAGUGUAGGGAGGAUGAUGCACAUGGAGUGUUGGUGGGCAUUUUAAAACACAGCAAAGAAAAGAGGGAAAAUGACUGAAAAUCAAAGCCAGAAUAAGACCACAAGAGUUGUUAUAACUCUGUAUUAUACAAAACUCUUUGCCUGGUUAUGGGUGACGUUGAACCUACCAAAAACAAUCUCAUGACUUCCUCCUGAACAUGCCAUGGCCAAAUUUAAACUGCAGUACCAAACAACAGAGGGACAAAUCAGAUCCCAGAGUAUGAAGUCCUUUGCAUAGUAUAUUUAUUGUACCAUCUCACCAAUCCAUUUACAUUCCAAGCACUUUCAAAAUGUUAGUCUUACAGUCUUAAGAUGGUAAUACAUAAAAUCUUCUGUACAUUGCAUUAAUAUAUGAAAGUUGAC
This 1749-nucleotide unclassified non-coding RNA is filed under the name Hevea brasiliensis (rubber tree). The record is from RNAcentral. Lineage: Eukaryota; Viridiplantae; Streptophyta; Magnoliopsida; Malpighiales; Euphorbiaceae.